This is a non-coding RNA of Theobroma cacao (cacao), 707 nucleotides long. NCBI's taxonomy places the organism in Eukaryota, Viridiplantae, Streptophyta, Magnoliopsida, Malvales, Malvaceae. The record is from RefSeq and is a predicted model, not a curated record.
ACCAACACCCAAAAAAGCAAAAACAUAGUGAAGACCUGAAGAAAAAACCUCAGUGCCCUCCGCUUCUCUCACAAUUUCUCCGGCCCUCUGUUAACACAAGCAUGAAGAAGUGUUUUGAGACCGGCCAAUCCUCCACCAACGAAACCUUAAGUGUGAAGAGAAAAGGAAAGAAGCCCAUGGCUCCCAGGAAGGAAAGUGAACUGAGAGAUAACAAGCACAAGAAGCAUACAAGUUCUAAAAGGAGGUUUGAGAAAACGCUGAAGAAGCAGAAAAGUUUGGAAUCAAAGAUAGAAGAUCUUAAGAAAGAAAUGAACCACGAGGAGUUGCAGGAAUACCAAGAAAAGCUGGGACGAUUGGAGCAGAACCUUGCCGAGAUUAAAAUGCAAUUCACUCUGGCAAAAGAAAUAAAUGAUGACAACCAGAUUUUCUUGAAUUCUAUAAUUGCUCUUUUGUUCCCUUGAAAUGAAGGAGAUGCAGGCAGGAGCAGUGGGGAACUAACUCCAGAUGAUUAAGUGCUAAAAGUUCCAAACUUGUGGGAAGGAGGAAAUCAAACUUCGGGAGUUCUCCUUUUAUCCAAUUAGAGAAUAUUUAGUUAUCGAACAUUAGUAUCGUGACAUGAUGAUUGUUUUAAGACUUUACACGGAGUGUAAACAAUGUUGCUUGUUUUUCAUUUCAUUUAGUGUAUUCGCUUAAAGACUUUAGAUUGA